This 337-nucleotide unclassified non-coding RNA is filed under the name soil metagenome. RNAcentral describes it as "partial contains 5.8S ribosomal RNA, internal transcribed spacer 2, and large subunit ribosomal RNA". The stretch from base 1 to 120 matches the Rfam family "5.8S ribosomal RNA", at positions 35 to 154 of the family's 154-position model. The record is from RNAcentral.
GAUGAAGAACGUAGCGAAAUGCGAUAAGUAAUGUGAAUUGCAGAAUUCAGUGAAUCAUCGAAUCUUUGAACGCACAUUGCGCCGGCCAGUACUCUGGCGGGCAUGCCUGUUCGAGCGUCAUUUCAACCAUCAAGCCCCCGGCUUGUGUUGGGGACCUGCGGCUGCCCGCAGGCCCUGAAAACCAGUGGCGGGCUCGCUGUCACUCCGAGCGUAGUAGCAUAUAUCUCGCUCAGGGCGUGCUGCGGGUUCCGGCCGUUAAAAGCCUUUUUUUACCCAAGGUUGACCUCGGAUCAGGUAGGAAGACCCGCUGAACUUAAGCAUAUCAAUAAGCGGAGGA